UUGCGGCGGCCGGUACUCUCGCUUGAUGUGAAGAGAAAGGGACGUGCUGGUCCCGAGUCCCUACCGCCCGGUGGUGGGUGCCUCGCCUUGCAAGCCAAGCUGCAUGGAAAAGCUGUGCUGUUGACUGUUGCUCGCUCAAUCACUAGUGGCAGAGCCUUGUUCAAGUCCGAUGACAGCUUUUCCAUAGCAUCAGGCCAUCAGCAUGUAAAACCUGCUGACCCGUCAAAAGUGGCGGAGCACGAACUAAAAAUAAGGGAAGCGGGCUUUGCAAGCAGCCGAAUCGGCGGAGCAGUGGAGCACGGGCUGCACAUCCGAAGCAGGCGGAGCAAAGCAAAGCAAGCAGCAAAGCAGGCAAGCAACCGUGGAGCAGUGAAGAUGGAGCACGGCCGUGCGGCCGUCGGCCGGCCAACGUCCAACGGGCCAACCGGCCAAGCACAGGCGCAUGGCAGGAAGGCAGAGGCAGCUAGGCAAGACCGCAGCCCGCGGGAAGCAGCAAGCCAGAGACGGAGGUGGGCAGGCGGCCGCGGACGAACAGGCGGUCGGCCGGCCGGGCGAGGAGCGAGCGAGCCCCGAGCGGACGUCUUGUGCUGCAGCGGUUGUGUUGCGGCGGCUGCGCUGUGCGUGCGGCGUGCUGUGGGUACGGAGACGGGCUAG
This 654-nucleotide unclassified non-coding RNA is filed under the name Zea mays. RNAcentral describes it as "misc RNA Zm00001eb324680". The record is from RNAcentral. Lineage: Eukaryota; Viridiplantae; Streptophyta; Magnoliopsida; Poales; Poaceae.